GGGUGAGUAGCUCAGAGGGGAGAGCGCUGCCCUUACAAGGCAGAGGUCACAGGUUCAAUUCCUGUCUCACCCA
RNAcentral lists this transfer RNA (73 nucleotides) under Candidatus Stahliibacteriota bacterium. RNAcentral describes it as "tRNA-Val". It matches the Rfam family "tRNA". Rfam says of the family: Transfer RNA (tRNA) molecules are approximately 80 nucleotides in length. Their secondary structure includes four short double-helical elements and three loops (D, anti-codon, and T loops). Further hydrogen bonds mediate the characteristic L-shaped molecular structure. tRNAs have two regions of fundamental functional importance: the anti-codon, which is responsible for specific mRNA codon recognition, and the 3' end, to which the tRNAs corresponding amino acid is attached (by aminoacyl-tRNA synthetases). tRNAs cope with the degeneracy of the genetic code in two manners: having more than one tRNA (with a specific anti-codon) for a particular amino acid; and 'wobble' base-pairing, i.e. permitting non-standard base-pairing at the 3rd anti-codon position. The record is from RNAcentral. Lineage: Bacteria; Candidatus Stahliibacteriota.